This 204-nucleotide long non-coding RNA is filed under the name Mytilus galloprovincialis (Mediterranean mussel). Lineage: Eukaryota; Metazoa; Mollusca; Bivalvia; Mytilida; Mytilidae. The record is from RNAcentral.
UUGGUGACUAUGUGGAACGCAUCUAUCCAAUCGAACUAGAGAUAAAGGAUACUACAGAUACAGUAAAGUCGGCUUCAUAUCUUGACUUACAUCUAGAAAUUGACAAUGAAGUUCGGUUGAAAACAAAACUUUACGACAAAAGAGAUGAUUUCAGCUUUCCAAUUGUGAACUUUCCAUUUCUUAGUAGCAACAUUCCAGCAGCAC